GAUGAACGCUGGCGGCGUGCCUAAUACAUGCCAGUCGAGCGAACGGACGAGAAGCUUGCUUCUCUGAUGUUAGCGGCGGACGGGUGAGUAACACGUGGAUAACCUACCUAUAAGACUGGGAUAACUUCGGGAAACCGGAGCUAAUCCCGGAUAAUAUUUUGAACCGCAUGGUUCAAACAUGAAAGACGGUCUUGCUGUCACUUCUCGAUGGAUCCGCGCUGCAUUAGCUAGUUGGUAAGGUAACGGAUUACCAAGGCAACGAUGCAUAGCCGACCUGCGCGGGUGAUCCGCCACACUGGAACUGAGACACGGUCCAGACUCCUACGGUAGGCAGCAGUAGGGAAUCUUCCGCAAUGGGCGAAAGCAUGACGUAGCAACGCCGCGUGAGUGAUAAUGGUCUUCGGAUCGUAAACCUCUGUUAGUAGGGAAGAACAUAUGUGUAAGUAACUGUGCACAUCUUGACGGUACCUAAUCAGAAAGCCACGGCUAACUACGUG
RNAcentral lists this ribosomal RNA (497 nucleotides) under uncultured bacterium. Its description in RNAcentral is "partial 16S ribosomal RNA". It matches the Rfam family "Bacterial small subunit ribosomal RNA", at positions 28 to 507 of the family's 1533-position model. The record is from RNAcentral.